UGAGGAAUAUUGGUCAAUGGGCGGGAGCCUGAACCAGCCAAGCCGCGUGAGGGAGGAAGGCCCUAUGGGUCGUAAACCUCUUUUGUCAGGGAACAAAAGCGAGUAUGUAUACUAGUCUGAGUGUACCUGAAGAAAAAGCAUCGGCUAACUCCGUGCCAGCAGCCGCGGUAAUACGGAGGAUGCGAGCGUUAUCCGGAUUUAUUGGGUUUAAAGGGUGCGUAGGCGGCGGUGCAAGUCAGCGGUAAAAGCCCGGGGCUCAA
RNAcentral lists this ribosomal RNA (260 nucleotides) under uncultured Bacteroidota bacterium. RNAcentral's name for it is "uncultured Bacteroidetes bacterium partial 16S ribosomal RNA". It matches the Rfam family "Bacterial small subunit ribosomal RNA", at positions 355 to 612 of the family's 1533-position model. The record is from RNAcentral. Lineage: Bacteria; Pseudomonadati; Bacteroidota.